UGCGUAGGCGGGUCUUUAAGUCAGGGGUGAAAUCCUGGAGCUCAACUCCAGAACUGCCUUUGAUACUGAAGAUCUUGAGUUCGGGAGAGGUGAGUGGAACUGCGAGUGUAGAGGUGAAAUUCGUAGAUAUUCGCAAGAACACCAGUGGCGAAGGCGGCUCACUGGCCCGAUACUGACGCUGAGGCGAGCUGGGAGCAACA
This 200-nucleotide ribosomal RNA is filed under the name uncultured bacterium. RNAcentral describes it as "partial 16S ribosomal RNA". It matches the Rfam family "Bacterial small subunit ribosomal RNA", at positions 569 to 752 of the family's 1533-position model. The record is from RNAcentral.